UUCCCUUGGUCUUCCACCUUUACCAUGUAAGGACAAGGUGUUUCUUCCUUCUGGAAUAUUCAUCAGGAAGGCACCAUCGUGGGGGCAAAGAACAGCCCUCAUCAGAUAUGGAAUCUGCUGGUGCCUUGGUCUUCAUGUAAAGACAAGGUGUUUCUUCCUUCUGGAAGAUUCAUCAGGAAGGUGCCAUCUUGGAGGCAAAGAACAGC
RNAcentral lists this long non-coding RNA (206 nucleotides) under Homo sapiens (human). Its description in RNAcentral is "HSALNT0404747". Lineage: Eukaryota; Metazoa; Chordata; Mammalia; Primates; Hominidae. The record is from RNAcentral.